RNAcentral lists this ribosomal RNA (1309 nucleotides) under uncultured bacterium. Its description in RNAcentral is "bacterial SSU rRNA". It matches the Rfam family "Bacterial small subunit ribosomal RNA", at positions 60 to 1364 of the family's 1533-position model. The record is from RNAcentral.
AGUCGAGCGGAACGAUGGUAGCUUGCUACCAGGCGUCGAGCGGCGGACGGGUGAGUAAUACUUAGGAAUCUACCUAGUAGUGGGGGAUAGCUCGGGGAAACUCGAAUUAAUACCGCAUCCGACCUAUGGGAGAAAGGGGGCAACUUGUUGCUCUCGCUAUUAGAUGAGCCUAAGUCGGAUUAGCUAGAUGGUGGGGUAAAGGCCUACCAUGGCGACGAUCUGUAGCUGGUCUGAGAGGAUGAUCAGCCACACCGGGACUGAGACACGGCCCGGACUCCUACGGGAGGCAGCAGUGGGGAAUAUUGGACAAUGGGGGAAACCCUGAUCCAGCCAUGCCGCGUGUGUGAAGAAGGCCUUUUGGUUGUAAAGCACUUUAAGCAGUGAAGAAGACUCCUCGGUUAAUACCCGUGGACGAUGACAUUAGCUGCAGAAUAAGCACCGGCUAACUCUGUGCCAGCAGCCGCGGUAAUACAGAGGGUGCAAGCGUUAAUCGGAAUUACUGGGCGUAAAGCGAGCGUAGGUGGCUUGAUAAGUCAGAUGUGAAAUCCCCGGGCUUAACCUGGGAACUGCAUCUGAAACUGUUAGGCUAGAGUAGGUGAGAGGAAGGUAGAAUUCCAGGUGUAGCGGUGAAAUGCGUAGAGAUCUGGAGGAAUACCGAUGGCGAAGGCAGCCUUCUGGCAUCAUACUGACACUGAGGCUCGAAAGCGUGGGUAGCAAACAGGAUUAGAUACCCUGGUAGUCCACGCCGUAAACGAUGUCUACUAGUCGUUGGGUCCCUUGAGGACUUAGUGACGCAGCUAACGCAAUAAGUAGACCGCCUGGGGAGUACGGCCGCAAGGUUAAAACUCAAAUGAAUUGACGGGGGCCCGCACAAGCGGUGGAGCAUGUGGUUUAAUUCGAUGCAACGCGAAGAACCUUACCUGUCUUGACAUAUCUAGAAUCCUGCAGAGAUGCGGGAGUGCCUUCGGGAAUUAGAAUACAGGUGCUGCAUGGCUGUCGUCAGCUCGUGUCGUGAGAUGUUGGGUUAAGUCCCGCAACGAGCGCAACCCUUGUCCUUAGUUACCAGCGGGUUAAGCCGGGAACUCUAAGGAUACUGCCAGUGACAAACUGGAGGAAGGCGGGGACGACGUCAAGUCAUCAUGGCCCCUACGACCAGGGCUACACACGUGCUACAAUGGUAGGUACAGAGGGCAGCUACACAGCGAUGUGAUGCGAAUCUCAAAAAGCCUAUCGUAGUCCAGAUUGGAGUUUGCAACUCGACUCCAUGAAGUAGGAAUCGCUAGUAAUCGCGGAUCAGAAUGCCGCGAUG